Molecule: long non-coding RNA, 342 nt
Filed under: Cucumis sativus (cucumber)
Lineage: Eukaryota; Viridiplantae; Streptophyta; Magnoliopsida; Cucurbitales; Cucurbitaceae
Description: long non-coding RNA (CSAT_LNC002043)
Source: RNAcentral
UUGUGAGCAAUUAGACCGAUUAUUAUUAUUUUUUUAAUCCAAAACACAAUGAAACCCCAACGGCCUCUUAUCCUCUCUCUCCUCUUCGCAGCCACUCUCUUCUACCUCCGCCCUGUUUCCGCCGAUGAAGAUACCCCAAACUCCCCCAACGCCACCGCCAAUUGUAUGGAGUUCAUCCGCACUAGCUGCGGCAUUACUCUCUAUCCCGACGUCUGCUACACUUCGCUUUCUCGUUACGCCAACGACAUUCAGCAGGACCCUGCCUCCCUCACUCGCAUCGCCAUUACCAUCAGCCUCGCCAACUCCCGUAGAAUGGCCGCUUACGUCUCCAAUUUAUCUCAC